Molecule: ribosomal RNA, 387 nt
Filed under: Tiliqua gigas
Lineage: Eukaryota; Metazoa; Chordata; Lepidosauria; Squamata; Scincidae
Description: partial 12S rRNA
Rfam family: Bacterial small subunit ribosomal RNA
Source: RNAcentral
GCUUAGCCCUAAACACAGAUGGUUAAAUACACAAAACCAUUCGCCAGAGAACUACAAGCGAAAAGCUUGAAACUCAAAGGACUUGGCGGUGCUCCACAUCAUCCUAGAGGAGCCUGUCCUAUAAUCGAUACCCCACGUUUUACCUUACCAUCCUUUGCAACUCAGCCUAUAUACCGCCGUCGUCAGCUUACCUUGUGAAAGAAACAAAGUAGGCAAAAAAGUUUACAACUAACACGUCAGGUCAAGGUGUAGCAGAUAGAAUGGAAGAGAUGGGCUACAUUUUCUGCCACAGAAAAAUACGAAAGGUGUGAUGAAACACACACCCAAAGGAGGAUUUAGAAGUAAGAUAAAUAAGAGUCUUUAUCUUAAAUCUGCUCUGGAGCGCGC